GGAGAGAGAGUCAAAAAGACCGCGAAACCGUUAGGAGGGAAGCGAAUGCAGCUGAAUUAGCUCUGCUCAAGUUCAGGAGUGAUGUUGAUUGGCGAUGCCAGUCUGCAAGAGCCGACAGGUUUUGCUCUCGGGAUAGCUGUCAACUCCUCUGCACUCUUGUGCAAAGCUGGCCAACAACAGUUGCCCGUGGCUGAGAAGGGCUGUUGGGAAGGUAGUUACUCCUCGGAGUAAAACUUAUAGCCAUCCGUCUGGUAGUCCGGGGGUGACUGAGGAUAACUGGCAGUGCAGGCCUCUGGCUUGGGCCGCUUCUGGCCGUUUGGGCACCGCGAUAGGGACUGCGUGCAGUGUCUGUUGACGGAUGUCUGCUCGGACGGGAGAUUGGUCACACCUUGCGCUGUAGUUGUUGGUGAUCAAAUGGCUGCAUCCGACCCGUCUUGAAACACGGAACGUCUCAUCCGACCCGUCUUGA
RNAcentral lists this ribosomal RNA (469 nucleotides) under Amorphinopsis fenestrata. Its description in RNAcentral is "partial large subunit ribosomal RNA". It matches the Rfam family "Eukaryotic large subunit ribosomal RNA", at positions 378 to 664 of the family's 3401-position model. Lineage: Eukaryota; Metazoa; Porifera; Demospongiae; Suberitida; Halichondriidae. The record is from RNAcentral.